This 806-nucleotide long non-coding RNA is filed under the name Salvia miltiorrhiza (redroot sage). RNAcentral's name for it is "long non-coding RNA (SMIL_LNC014233)". The record is from RNAcentral. Lineage: Eukaryota; Viridiplantae; Streptophyta; Magnoliopsida; Lamiales; Lamiaceae.
GGGUUUGCUGGGGGUAGGCGGCGGAGAUCGUGGAGGAAGGAGAAGGGUUCGCCGGCUGGAGAAUAGGCGGCGGAGGUCGUGGAGGAAAAAAGGGUUUGCUGGGGGGAGGCGGCGGAGGCCGUGGAGGAAGGAGAAGGGUUUCGGGAUGGAGAAGAGGCAGCGGAGGUCGUGGCGACGGGGGAUCCGACUCUCUCCUCUCUCUCCGCAUCUGGCUUAGGAAAAUUGGAGUUGGAGUUGGGGAAUUGGGUAUUUGGUUUGGAGAGUUUGCUGGGGGAAGGCGGCGGAGGCCGUGGAGGAAGGAGAAGGGUUCGCCGGUGGAGAACAGGCGGCGAAGGUCGUGGAGGAAGGAGGGUUUGCUGGGGAAAGGCAGCAGAGGUCGUGGAGGAAGGAGGAGUGUCCGUCGACUGGAGAAUAGGCGGCGGAGAUUGUGGAAGAAGGAGGAGGUUUCGCCGACCGGAGAAGAGAACAGAGACUUGAGCUUUGCCUCGCCGGAGGGGGGGGCUCUGCUGGUGGGGGAGAAGUGGCGGCGGUGGUGGUCGAGAGAUGAGAGAGAGUGAUGAAUCUAAGAGAGAAAGAGAGAAAGUGUGGUGACGUGUGAGAGAGAGAGUGGGGUGUGUGAGAGAGUGGAGUGGUGUGUGUGAUGUGGUGAUUCCGACUGCCACAUAGGCAUUCCGGUUGCCACGUUGACGUGCCGGUUGCCAAAUCAGAUUUGAUUUGGGCGAAUUUAUAAUUUGUGGGAAAUUUGCGAACCAAUUACAAAUUGAUGUAUUUGAAAGUAAAAUUUUAGGGUCGUGAUAUAAAUCAGA